This 373-nucleotide ribosomal RNA is filed under the name uncultured organism. RNAcentral describes it as "partial 16S ribosomal RNA". It matches the Rfam family "Bacterial small subunit ribosomal RNA", at positions 527 to 896 of the family's 1533-position model. The record is from RNAcentral.
GUAGGUGGCAAGCGUUGUCCGGAAUUAUUGGGCGUAAAGCGCGCGCAGGCGGUCCUUUAAGUCUGAUGUGAAAGCCCACGGCUCAACCGUGGAGGGUCAUUGGAAACUGGGGGACUUGAGUGCAGAAGAGGAGAGUGGAAUUCCACGUGUAGCGGUGAAAUGCGUAGAGAUGUGGAGGAACACCAGUGGCGAAGGCGACUCUCUGGUCUGUAACUGACGCUGAGGCGCGAAAGCGCGGGGGGAGCGAACAGGAUUAGAUACCCUGGUAGUCCACGCCGUAAACGAUGAGUGCUAAGUGUUAGAGGGUUUCCCGCCCUUUAGUGCUGCAGCUAACGCAUUAAGCACUCCGCCUGGGAGUACGGUCGCAAGACUG